This 305-nucleotide ribosomal RNA is filed under the name uncultured bacterium. RNAcentral's name for it is "bacterial SSU rRNA". It matches the Rfam family "Bacterial small subunit ribosomal RNA", at positions 333 to 633 of the family's 1533-position model. The record is from RNAcentral.
AAUCACCUACGGGGCGCAGCAGUGAGGAAUAUUGGUCAAUGGACGCAAGUCUGAACCAGCCACGUAGCGUGCAGGAUGACGGCCCUCCGGGUUUUAAACUGCUUUUAGUUGGGAAUAAAAGGGGGCUCGUGAGUCCCGUAUUGUAUGUACCAUCAGAAAAAGGACCGGCUAAUUCCGUGCCAGCAGCCGCGGUAAUACGGAAGGUCCGGGCGUUAUCCGGAUUUAUUGGGUUUAAAGGGAGCGUAGGCCGGCUUUUAAGUCAGCUGUGAAAGUCCGAGGCUCGACCGGGGAAUUGCAGUUGAAAG